UACGUAGGGGGCAAGCGUUACCCGGAUUUACUGGGUGUAAAGGGAGCGUAGACGGCUGUGCAAGCCAGAUGUGAAAGCCCGGGGCUCAACCCCGGGACUGCAUUUGGAACUGUGUAGCUGGAGUGUCGGAGAGGCAGGCGGAAUUCCUAGUGUAGCGGUGAAAUGCGUAGAUAUUAGGAGGAACACCAGUGGCGAAGGCGGCCUGCUGGACGAUGACUGACGUUGAGGCUCGAAAGCGUGGGGAGCAAACAGG
This 253-nucleotide ribosomal RNA is filed under the name uncultured bacterium. RNAcentral describes it as "partial 16S ribosomal RNA". It matches the Rfam family "Bacterial small subunit ribosomal RNA", at positions 524 to 776 of the family's 1533-position model. The record is from RNAcentral.